AGGAUUCCCUUAGUAACGGCGAGUGAAGAGGGAUGAGCUCAAAUUUGUAAUCUGGCGUGCCGGAAGGCCGUCCGAGUUGUAGUCUAGAGAAGCGUCUUCCGUGCCGGACCGCGUACAAGUCCCCUGGAACGGGACAUCGUAGAGGGUGAGAAUCCCGUGUCGCGACGCGGACCGCCGGUGCCCUGUGAUGCGCUCUCGAAGAGUCGAGUUGUUUGGGAAUGCAGCUCAAAGUGGGUGGUAAACUCCAUCUAAAGCUAAAUACGGGCGAAAGACCGAUAGCGAACAAGUACCGUGAGGGAAAGAUGAAAAGCACUUUGGAAAGAGAGUUAAAACAGUACGUGAAAUUGUUGAAAGGGAAACGCUUGGACUCAUGUCACGUUCACCGCGAAUUCAGCCUUCGUCUCGGCGGAGGUGCACUUUCCGGUGGACGGGUCAGCAUCGAUUUCGAAUGUCGGAUGGGGUCCCAUGGGAACGUGACACCCCUUCACGGGGGUGUGUUAUCAGCCCGGGGACUCGGCGGCGAUUGGGAUCGAGGAACGCAGCGCGCCGUAAUGGCCGGGGGACAUAAUCCCACGUAACGCGCUUAGGAUGCUGGCGCAACGGGUUCAA
This 609-nucleotide ribosomal RNA is filed under the name Chondrogaster pachysporus. RNAcentral describes it as "eukaryotic LSU rRNA". It matches the Rfam family "Eukaryotic large subunit ribosomal RNA", at positions 71 to 643 of the family's 3401-position model. Lineage: Eukaryota; Fungi; Basidiomycota; Agaricomycetes. The record is from RNAcentral.